GAGGAAAUGCAGAUGCUGGA
Molecule: microRNA, 20 nt
Filed under: Homo sapiens (human)
Lineage: Eukaryota; Metazoa; Chordata; Mammalia; Primates; Hominidae
Description: hsa-miR-12124
Source: miRBase by way of RNAcentral